This 412-nucleotide long non-coding RNA is filed under the name Rattus norvegicus (Norway rat). RNAcentral describes it as "long non-coding RNA NONRATT023163". Lineage: Eukaryota; Metazoa; Chordata; Mammalia; Rodentia; Muridae. The record is from RNAcentral.
GGAACCUCCAGGCUGAGCAGCAUGGAGGGGCUCUCCCUGACGGGCAGCCUCCCGCUGAUACUGUUGCUUCUGAGCCCAGUUCCUGAAGCAGCCUUGCCACUGCCCUCCAGCACUAGCUGCUGUACUCAGCUCUAUAGGCAACCACUCCCAACCAGACUACUGAGGAGGAUCGUCCGUGUGGAGCUGCAGGAGGCUGACGGGGACUGCCACCUCCAAGCUGUUGUGCUUCACCUGACUCGGCGCAGUGUCUGUGUUCAUCCCCAGAACCGUAGCCUGGCUCGGUGGUUAGAACGCCAUGGGAAAAGGCUCCAGGGGACCCUACCCAGUUUAAAUCCGGUACUACAAAAGAAAAUGUGCCCGAGCCCCCAAAAGCAAAAGUAAUAAAGCAACAUUAGACGAUAAUCUCCAAAAA